RNAcentral lists this ribosomal RNA (496 nucleotides) under uncultured bacterium. Its description in RNAcentral is "partial 16S ribosomal RNA". It matches the Rfam family "Bacterial small subunit ribosomal RNA", at positions 28 to 507 of the family's 1533-position model. The record is from RNAcentral.
GAUGAACGCUGGCGGCGUGCCUAAUACAUGCAAGUCGAGCGAACGGACGAGAAGCUUGCUUCUCUGAUGUUAGCGGCGGACGGGUGAGUAACACGUGGAUAACCUACCUAUAAGACUGGGAUAACUUCGGGAAACCGGAGCUAAUACCGGAUAAUAUUUUGAACCGCAUGGUUCAAAAGUGAAAGACGGUCUUGCUGUCACUUAUAGAUGGAUCCGCGCUGCAUUAGCUAGUUGGUAAGGUAACGGCUUACCAAGGCAACGAUGCAUAGCCGACCUGAGAGGGUGAUCGGCCACACUGGAACUGAGACACGGUCCAGACUCCUACGGGAGGCAGCAGUAGGGAAUCUGCCGCAAUGGGCGAAAGCCUGACGGAGCAACGCCGCGUGAGUGAUGAAGGUCUUCGGAUCGUAAAACUCUGUUAUUAGGGAAGAACAUAUGUGUAAGUAACUGUGCACAUCUUGACGGUACCUAUCAGAAAGCCACGGCUAACUACGUG